RNAcentral lists this unclassified non-coding RNA (244 nucleotides) under Meyerozyma caribbica. RNAcentral's name for it is "partial internal transcribed spacer region". The stretch from base 1 to 46 matches the Rfam family "Eukaryotic small subunit ribosomal RNA", at positions 1786 to 1831 of the family's 1831-position model. Lineage: Eukaryota; Fungi; Ascomycota; Pichiomycetes; Serinales; Debaryomycetaceae. RNAcentral also lists the same sequence under 1 other name. The record is from RNAcentral.
AAGUCGUAACAAGGUUUCCGUAGGUGAACCUGCGGAAGGAUCAUUACAGUAUUCUUUUGCCAGCGCUUAACUGCGCGGCGAAAAACCUUACACACAGUGUCUUUUUGAUACAGAACUCUUGCUUUGGUUUGGCCUAGAGAUAGGUUGGGCCAAAGGUUUAACAAAACACAAUUUAAUUAUUUUUAUUGAUAGUCAAAUUUUGAAUUAAUCUUCAAAACUUUCAACAACGGAUCUCUUGGUUCUC